GACGAACGCUGGCGGCGUGCUUAACACAUGCAAGUCGAGCGGUAAGGCCCUUUCGGGGGUACACGAGCGGCGAACGGGUGAGUAACACGUGGGUGACCUGCCUCUAGCUCUGGGAUAAGCCUGGGAAGCUGGGUCUAAUACCGGAUAUGACCUCGCGGUGCAUGUUGCGGGGUGGAAAGCCUUGCGCGGCUAGGGAUGGGCCCGCGGCCUAUCAGCUUGUUGGUGGGGUGANGGCCUACCAAGGCGACGACGGGUAGCCGGCCUGAGAGGGCGACCGGCCACACUGGGACUGAGACACGGCCCAGACUCCUACGGGAGGCAGCAGUGGGGAAUCUUGCGCAAUGGGCGAAAGCCUGACGCAGCGACGCCGCGUGAGGGAUGACGGCCU
RNAcentral lists this ribosomal RNA (388 nucleotides) under uncultured bacterium. Its description in RNAcentral is "bacterial SSU rRNA". It matches the Rfam family "Bacterial small subunit ribosomal RNA", at positions 28 to 417 of the family's 1533-position model. The record is from RNAcentral.